RNAcentral lists this ribosomal RNA (253 nucleotides) under uncultured bacterium. RNAcentral describes it as "partial 16S ribosomal RNA". It matches the Rfam family "Bacterial small subunit ribosomal RNA", at positions 524 to 776 of the family's 1533-position model. The record is from RNAcentral.
UACGGGGGGAGCAAGCGUUGUUCGGAUUUACUGGGCGUAAAGGGCGCGCAGGCGGCUACGCACGUCCGUUGUGAAAUCGCUCGGCUCAACUGGGCGGGGUCAGCGGAUACGGCGUAGCUGGAGCAAGCUAGGGGGCAAUGGAAUUCCCGGUGUAGUGGUGGAAUGCGUAGAUAUCGGGAGGAACACCAGUGGCGAAGGCGGUUGCCUGGAGCUUUGCUGACGCUGAGGCGCGAAAGCGUGGGGAGCGAUCCGG